This 91-nucleotide transfer RNA is filed under the name Kiritimatiellia bacterium. RNAcentral describes it as "Kiritimatiellae bacterium (gut metagenome) tRNA-Ser". It matches the Rfam family "tRNA". From Rfam's summary of the family: Transfer RNA (tRNA) molecules are approximately 80 nucleotides in length. Their secondary structure includes four short double-helical elements and three loops (D, anti-codon, and T loops). The record is from RNAcentral. Lineage: Bacteria; Pseudomonadati; Kiritimatiellota; Kiritimatiellia.
GGAGAGGUGCCAGAGUGGCCUAUCGGACACGCCUGGAGAGCGUGACUACUCCAAAAGGGUAGCGAGGGUUCGAAUCCCUCCCUCUCCGCCA